Molecule: long non-coding RNA, 936 nt
Organism: Catharus ustulatus (Swainson's thrush)
Lineage: Eukaryota; Metazoa; Chordata; Aves; Passeriformes; Turdidae
Exons: 5
Source: RefSeq, a predicted model, not a curated record
CCUCACUCGAGCAGGUAUCUCUUUUCCAAAAGGAGGGACAAACAGAGCUGUUGCACUGGAGUGGAAGGACACCACUGGCUCUGAAUGCUGCAGUCAGCAGGAAUUGCACAAGAGUUAAGUGACCCAACAGCCCAGCGAGAGGCUUCUUUCGGAUAGCUGGCAGAAAACCUGGCUUUAAAAGAGGAGCUCAGACAGGAAGCAGCAAUGUUCCAGGAGGAUUUCUGAGUCAAGCAGGAGAGCAACUGGCUUCUUGAAGUGUGAAUUUCAAAGCUCCCUAAAACCCUUGGCUGCACAGUUGGAGCAGUCAGGACUGAGGAACCAGCACCCCAGAGGACCUGCAUUUCCCCAGCACUUGCACCUGGAGUCAUGGCUGAGCUGCAGAAGCCUCUUCAGAGUGAGAAGAGAAAUCUCCAUGCUCAGACAGGCAUUGAAACAGCUAAUUUGAGUGGACACCAAGUCCAGGCUGCUUUUGAAACUGUCUCAUGUCCAUGCCUGAGCUUUUAAUCCUGUCUGAGAUAACAAAGUGUGCUCAGAAAUAAUGUAACAGCAAGAGUGACAGCAGAGGCUGCUCAAGCAGGACAGUGAAACAGGAGUGACUUGAGCUGCUGGAAGCUGGCCUGUUACAGUUCGGGAACGCGUGAUCCAGUGAGCACGGCUCAUAAAUCAGCUCCAUAAAAGGGUCACAGGGAAAAAGAAAAAACCAAACCAUCCUGGGGUUGUGUUUUGCAGGGCUGUUCCAGCAGCAGCAGGUAAGUGAAACCUCAAUCUGGCAGGCAAAACAAGCGGGCUGAGCCCUCCAGUGCAGCUGCCAAGGGUUCAGGAGCAGCAGCCACAGCUUUCCCCUGGCCUCUGCGUAAGAUGAGGUGGAGUGCGGGCUUUUUGGGCAGAGCAGUGGCAUCCCUGAUGCCACAGUUCAGUGGGGGUAUCCUCACCGUG